GUGAAUCAUCAAAUUUUUGAACGCAAAUUGCACUCUCUGGUAUUCCGGAGAGUAUGCCUGUUUGAGGGUCAGUUUAAAUAAAAAUCGGUGUGGUUGCUGCAUUUCGUGGUGACGUAGCGGAUUUGGGUCUUCUUGCGUUCGGUUAAGUAAACUAAAAUUUUGCAUGUUCUUUUCGAACGUAUUUAUAUGACUUUACUUACGUUUGCGAUAGAGAUAUCUAAGUGUGGUAAU
RNAcentral lists this unclassified non-coding RNA (231 nucleotides) under Glomeraceae sp. RNAcentral describes it as "partial contains 5.8S ribosomal RNA and internal transcribed spacer 2". The stretch from base 1 to 71 matches the Rfam family "5.8S ribosomal RNA", at positions 84 to 154 of the family's 154-position model. Lineage: Eukaryota; Fungi; Glomeromycota; Glomeromycetes; Glomerales; Glomeraceae. The record is from RNAcentral.